RNAcentral lists this long non-coding RNA (450 nucleotides) under Monodelphis domestica (gray short-tailed opossum). RNAcentral's name for it is "lncRNA (ENSMODG00000030240.2)". The record is from RNAcentral. Lineage: Eukaryota; Metazoa; Chordata; Mammalia; Didelphimorphia; Didelphidae.
AUAAAAUCGUACAUUACAAUGACACCAAGGUUCAGUGUCUCUAUAGUAACUAUGGAAUUCAAAGUUACCUCUGGAAUCUUUUAACUCUAGCAUUGGUUGGUAGAACAGUCUUAUUGGUUCCUAGUUCUCCAGUGAAUGUAAGUUCUUUGGAAGAGUCAUUAUUAUGCUGAAAAACAACAACAAAACAGCCGUCAUGGAUGUCAAUGAAGAAUUUAGAUUAAGACUCAUGCAAAGGAUAAUGGAGAGGGUCAUAAUGGGCAUGUGCAGAUUCUAAAUCAAUACUUCAAAGGCAUCAGAUUCCAAGCCUCUCCAACCAUCCCUUGCAGUGGAUGUAAACCUUUGCAUGUCUUCCAGGCCCUUUCCUUGAAAAUCUCUGGAUCAUUCUUCUAUCAUAUUUUCCACACUGAUAUUGCAGAGGUCUCCAAACACCGAGUGAUCCAUCUAUUCUGA